Long non-coding RNA from Heteronotia binoei (common prickly gecko), 449 nucleotides. RefSeq lists it as uncharacterized. The transcript has 4 exons. The record is from RefSeq and is a predicted model, not a curated record. Lineage: Eukaryota; Metazoa; Chordata; Lepidosauria; Squamata; Gekkonidae.
GGGCCCCUGGACAGUCCUGGCAGAGCAGAAUGGAAUGUGAAACACGUGGAGAUCCGGAGUAGCGGUGCUGGAACGGAUUUUACAAGGUGGCUUUGGAGGAAAUACCUGAGGCUCUGGAGAUGCAACGUUCUCCUCCGCCGUUUCCAGGAGACGUGGAGGGCACGCCAGCUGGCGAGGGCCUGGUUGGUCUGGAAGGAUGCCUGCCGGACCGAGUGGGUGGUACAAGCUUUGGCGUGGCAGAGGCUGGCCCAGUGGGGCUGGAAGGCGUGGAGGCGGCGUUUCCUACAGACGCAGGUGUCUGAGCAUUUCCUGGAGGCCCAGGACAGGAGCCUACUCAAGAGGGCUUUCGGAAGGUGGCAACAACUGGCAGCAAAAGUGAACGGCCAGCCGCAAGAAAGCUCUUCGAUCUCCCUGCCUCUUUCACGCAACACAGGGGCAGAUCCAACCAA